This 2904-nucleotide ribosomal RNA is filed under the name Escherichia coli. RNAcentral's name for it is "bacterial LSU rRNA". It matches the Rfam family "Bacterial large subunit ribosomal RNA". Lineage: Bacteria; Pseudomonadati; Pseudomonadota; Gammaproteobacteria; Enterobacterales; Enterobacteriaceae. The record is from RNAcentral.
UUAAGCGACUAAGCGUACACGGUGGAUGCCCUGGCAGUCAGAGGCGAUGAAGGACGUGCUAAUCUGCGAUAAGCGUCGGUAAGGUGAUAUGAACCGUUAUAACCGGCGAUUUCCGAAUGGGGAAACCCAGUGUGUUUCGACACACUAUCAUUAACUGAAUCCAUAGGUUAAUGAGGCGAACCGGGGGAACUGAAACAUCUAAGUACCCCGAGGAAAAGAAAUCAACCGAGAUUCCCCCAGUAGCGGCGAGCGAACGGGGAGCAGCCCAGAGCCUGAAUCAGUGUGUGUGUUAGUGGAAGCGUCUGGAAAGGCGCGCGAUACAGGGUGACAGCCCCGUACACAAAAAUGCACAUGCUGUGAGCUCGAUGAGUAGGGCGGGACACGUGGUAUCCUGUCUGAAUAUGGGGGGACCAUCCUCCAAGGCUAAAUACUCCUGACUGACCGAUAGUGAACCAGUACCGUGAGGGAAAGGCGAAAAGAACCCCGGCGAGGGGAGUGAAAAAGAACCUGAAACCGUGUACGUACAAGCAGUGGGAGCACGCUUAGGCGUGUGACUGCGUACCUUUUGUAUAAUGGGUCAGCGACUUAUAUUCUGUAGCAAGGUUAACCGAAUAGGGGAGCCGAAGGGAAACCGAGUCUUAACUGGGCGUUAAGUUGCAGGGUAUAGACCCGAAACCCGGUGAUCUAGCCAUGGGCAGGUUGAAGGUUGGGUAACACUAACUGGAGGACCGAACCGACUAAUGUUGAAAAAUUAGCGGAUGACUUGUGGCUGGGGGUGAAAGGCCAAUCAAACCGGGAGAUAGCUGGUUCUCCCCGAAAGCUAUUUAGGUAGCGCCUCGUGAAUUCAUCUCCGGGGGUAGAGCACUGUUUCGGCAAGGGGGUCAUCCCGACUUACCAACCCGAUGCAAACUGCGAAUACCGGAGAAUGUUAUCACGGGAGACACACGGCGGGUGCUAACGUCCGUCGUGAAGAGGGAAACAACCCAGACCGCCAGCUAAGGUCCCAAAGUCAUGGUUAAGUGGGAAACGAUGUGGGAAGGCCCAGACAGCCAGGAUGUUGGCUUAGAAGCAGCCAUCAUUUAAAGAAAGCGUAAUAGCUCACUGGUCGAGUCGGCCUGCGCGGAAGAUGUAACGGGGCUAAACCAUGCACCGAAGCUGCGGCAGCGACGCUGAUGCGUUGUUGGGUAGGGGAGCGUUCUGUAAGCCUGCGAAGGUGUGCUGUGAGGCAUGCUGGAGGUAUCAGAAGUGCGAAUGCUGACAUAAGUAACGAUAAAGCGGGUGAAAAGCCCGCUCGCCGGAAGACUAAGGGUUCCUGUCCAACGUUAAUCGGGGCAGGGUGAGUCGACCCCUAAGGCGAGGCCGAAAGGCGUAGUCGAUGGGAAACAGGUUAAUAUUCCUGUACUUGGUGUUACUGCGAAGGGGGGACGGAGAAGGCUAUGUUGGCCGGGCGACGGUUGUCCCGGUUUAAGCGUGUAGGCUGGUUUUCCAGGCAAAUCCGGAAAAUCAAGGCUGAGGCGUGAUGACGAGGCACUACGGUGCUGAAGCAACAAAUGCCCUGCUUCCAGGAAAAGCCUCUAAGCAUCAGGUAACAUCAAAUCGUACCCCAAACCGACACAGGUGGUCAGGUAGAGAAUACCAAGGCGCUUGAGAGAACUCGGGUGAAGGAACUAGGCAAAAUGGUGCCGUAACUUCGGGAGAAGGCACGCUGAUAUGUAGGUGAAGUCCCUCGCGGAUGGAGCUGAAAUCAGUCGAAGAUACCAGCUGGCUGCAACUGUUUAUUAAAAACACAGCACUGUGCAAACACGAAAGUGGACGUAUACGGUGUGACGCCUGCCCGGUGCCGGAAGGUUAAUUGAUGGGGUUAGCCGCAAGGCGAAGCUCUUGAUCGAAGCCCCGGUAAACGGCGGCCGUAACUAUAACGGUCCUAAGGUAGCGAAAUUCCUUGUCGGGUAAGUUCCGACCUGCACGAAUGGCGUAAUGAUGGCCAGGCUGUCUCCACCCGAGACUCAGUGAAAUUGAACUCGCUGUGAAGAUGCAGUGUACCCGCGGCAAGACGGAAAGACCCCGUGAACCUUUACUAUAGCUUGACACUGAACAUUGAGCCUUGAUGUGUAGGAUAGGUGGGAGGCUUUGAAGUGUGGACGCCAGUCUGCAUGGAGCCGACCUUGAAAUACCACCCUUUAAUGUUUGAUGUUCUAACGUUGACCCGUAAUCCGGGUUGCGGACAGUGUCUGGUGGGUAGUUUGACUGGGGCGGUCUCCUCCUAAAGAGUAACGGAGGAGCACGAAGGUUGGCUAAUCCUGGUCGGACAUCAGGAGGUUAGUGCAAUGGCAUAAGCCAGCUUGACUGCGAGCGUGACGGCGCGAGCAGGUGCGAAAGCAGGUCAUAGUGAUCCGGUGGUUCUGAAUGGAAGGGCCAUCGCUCAACGGAUAAAAGGUACUCCGGGGAUAACAGGCUGAUACCGCCCAAGAGUUCAUAUCGACGGCGGUGUUUGGCACCUCGAUGUCGGCUCAUCACAUCCUGGGGCUGAAGUAGGUCCCAAGGGUAUGGCUGUUCGCCAUUUAAAGUGGUACGCGAGCUGGGUUUAGAACGUCGUGAGACAGUUCGGUCCCUAUCUGCCGUGGGCGCUGGAGAACUGAGGGGGGCUGCUCCUAGUACGAGAGGACCGGAGUGGACGCAUCACUGGUGUUCGGGUUGUCAUGCCAAUGGCACUGCCCGGUAGCUAAAUGCGGAAGAGAUAAGUGCUGAAAGCAUCUAAGCACGAAACUUGCCCCGAGAUGAGUUCUCCCUGACUCCUUGAGAGUCCUGAAGGAACGUUGAAGACGACGACGUUGAUAGGCCGGGUGUGUAAGCGCAGCGAUGCGUUGAGCUAACCGGUACUAAUGAACCGUGAGGCUUAACCUU